CCCAAUCCGACGCCGCCCGGAAGCUUUAAAUUAUAAUUUAAGUGUUUGCAAAUUCGAACAUAAUUAUUCCAGUUCAUUUCGAUCUGAUAUUUUGCGAUUGUGGAACAAUAUUUUUCAAUCCAAAUUCCAAAAUUCCGACAUCCACUUUUAUUUUUUAUGAAAUUAUUUGGAUCGUGAGAUUCCGAUUUUCAAUCUAAUUUUAAUUUUUGAACAUUAAGUUUUUUUUUUUUCCGAAUAUUAAAUUUGAAAUACUAGUAGUAUUAUGUAUUUUAUAUUUCAAGUAACCAAGAAUUGAAAAUUCCCAAACUACACGGAUUCCAAUCAGAAAUUUUACGAUUUUGGAACAAAUUUUUUCACUUCAGUUUUCUUUAUUUUCCGUUUUUUCAGGAACAAAGUUGAAACUAGUUUUUCACUUCUAAAAAAAAUCAAUUGUUCUGCGGAAAAGGCUAAUUCGAUCCGUAUGUCCGAUUUAAACCCCUAUUCGAGGCAAAAGUAGGACCAUGUACUUAUCUCAACAUUUGGUCAAAUUUGAAAAUAGUAUAAGUCAAUGGUUGGAUAGAGUUAUAUAGUAAUUGAAAUCUA
RNAcentral lists this long non-coding RNA (582 nucleotides) under Erythranthe guttata (spotted monkey flower). Its description in RNAcentral is "long non-coding RNA (EGUT_LNC003927)". Lineage: Eukaryota; Viridiplantae; Streptophyta; Magnoliopsida; Lamiales; Phrymaceae. The record is from RNAcentral.